AUUCUGCACUUCUUCGAUAGAAAAACUUUGACCACCAUGGGAGUCUUGAGAGCUUGAGAACUUGCUUUUCUAGUCACUAAAAUUCAUAGAUACUUUGAAAGAAAAUCAUCCUUGUAAUUAGUAGAACACAACCAUGACUUUUAAUCCUUGAGAAGAGCUUUACAUGUUCAUCUUUUCUCCUCUUUUUCUUAUGACCUCAUAGCCAUCCAUGGAAAAUGAGGUGUUUUCAUGUCUUGUUGAUGGGAAAUUGAGGAAAUAUGCACAAAAGAGUGGUUUAAGGUUUCCUCCCUCGGAUCCAAUCAUAGUGCAUUGAUCUUGGAAGCUUUCUUGGAUUGCCUUUGGUCCUUAAUCUAAAGGAUUUUGGUACACAUAGUGGUGCUGUAGGAGUAUUGGGCAAGAGGCCAACAUAACGUUGUGGAUGGGAGCAUUUUGGAGUGCACUAUGCAUAUAGUAUUUGUAUUUUGGGAUUACUAGUUAUAUAUUAGACUUAAUGCGUGAACGUUUGACAUAGCAUGAUUUGAUGUAUACCAUGCAUAGGGUUUGUUCAUGUAUUAUUUUGGAGCUAAGUUUAAUUAUUAUGGAUCAUUGGUAUUUUGGUAUAAUGAUGUAAUAUUGAUGUAAAGUGAUAGAAUGUAAUUAGAUAUAUUGAGGACAUUGGUAUGUAAUAUUGAUGUAUGUGAUAG
Molecule: long non-coding RNA, 683 nt
Organism: Gastrolobium bilobum
Lineage: Eukaryota; Viridiplantae; Streptophyta; Magnoliopsida; Fabales; Fabaceae
Exons: 3
Source: RefSeq, a predicted model, not a curated record